AUACGGAGGGUCCGAGCGUUAUCCGGAAUCAUUGGGUUUAAAGGGUCCGUAGGCGGGAAUCUAAGUCAGUGGUGAAAUCUUGCAGCUCAACUGUAAAAUUGCCAUUGAUACUGGAUUUCUUGAAUUAGUGUGAAGUGGUUAGAAUGUGUAGUGUAGCGGUGAAAUGCAUAGAUAUUACACAGAAUACCAAUUGCGAAGGCGGAUCACUAACACUAUAUUGACGCUAAGGGACGAAAGCGUGGGGAGCGAACAGGAUUAGAAACCCUAGUAGUCC
This 274-nucleotide ribosomal RNA is filed under the name uncultured bacterium. Its description in RNAcentral is "partial 16S ribosomal RNA". It matches the Rfam family "Bacterial small subunit ribosomal RNA", at positions 523 to 796 of the family's 1533-position model. The record is from RNAcentral.